Molecule: ribosomal RNA, 499 nt
Filed under: uncultured bacterium
Lineage: Bacteria
Description: partial 16S ribosomal RNA
Rfam family: Bacterial small subunit ribosomal RNA
Source: RNAcentral
AUUGAACGCUGGCGGAAUGCUUUACACAUGCAAGUCGAACGGCAGCACGGACUUCGGUCUGGUGGCGAGUGGCGAACGGGCGAGUAAUGUAUCGGAACGUGCCCAGUCGUGGGGGAUAACGUAGUGAAAAUUACGCGAAUACCGCAUACGAACUAUGGAUGAAAGCGGGGGAUCGCAAGACCUCGCGCGAUUGGAGCGGCCGAUAUCAGAUAGGUAGUUGGUGGGGUAAAGGCCCACCAAGCCAACGAUCUGUAGCUGGUCUGAGAGGACGACCAGCCACACUGGAACUGAGACACGGUCCAGACUCCUACGGGAGGCAGCAGUGGGGAAUUUUGGACAAUGGGCGAAAGCCUGAUCCAGCCAUUCCGCGUGCAGGAUGAAGGCCCUCGGGUUGUAAACUGCUUUUGUACAGAACGAAAAGGUUUCUACUAAUACUAGGAGCUCAUGACGGUACUGUAAGAAUAAGCACCGGCUAACUACGUGCCAGCCGCCGCAGUAA